Molecule: long non-coding RNA, 1993 nt
Organism: Coffea eugenioides
Lineage: Eukaryota; Viridiplantae; Streptophyta; Magnoliopsida; Gentianales; Rubiaceae
Exons: 5
Source: RefSeq, a predicted model, not a curated record
GUUUUAGUAAAAUAACGUACCCUAAGUACCUUCUUGGUUCUUAACUAAAUUAUUUUGACAUGUCUACUUCAAGAUAAAUAGUCACAAUCCAAAAAAUUGCAGUUUGAAUGAUCAACAAACAGGUUUUGUUAUUGUAGCAUUCUAUCUGUUAUGUUUUAGCCAAGAAAGACUAUCAAAUCUAAAAAUAAUUUAUAAUUAUUAAGAAACCACUUGGAAUAUGUAACAUUUCAGAAGACUAAUGAAGGUGGGAGAUCAAUGAUAAAUGUUUCACGUGAAGUUCUCCAACAUGGUUUCACCUAAUUAGAGGUACUCUACCAUAAAGUAUCUGCUUGUUAGGUUAAAUGAGCAUGUUUCAGCAUGCCCAUUCAAUGGAAGUUGAUAAAUUACUCUUAAGAAUUCAAGGAAGAAGGAAAAAACUUCCCAACACUGAAAAGCUAUUGACAUCCAUUACCCAUUUCUUUCUGAAAACGGUUAUCCUUUUUUGAUUUUUGUUUGUCCCAAAGAUUUUAGUCUGUCAGGCAAAAUCAGUCUGCUAAAAGAAGUUAAUAAGAGAAUUUAUGAAUGCUAGUACAUGGAUAUAAAUUUUCCAUUUUUGUUCUUCAGAUUAGUUUGCCAAACUCUAGUUUAGAACGUCAUUUUAGAAAGAGACGAAAGAUUAUCAUCUUGCUCUUCCUUUAACAUUUAGUUAAACAUUUAGCUUUGAUAAUCACUUUAUUUUCAGAAAGAAUCACAAGGACAAUUGAUGCAAAUUCGAUUGACUUUUGAUACCAUUACUUCCUUCUGGGUUUGUUAAUGCUCUGUUUUUUAGCCUUUCAUUUUUGGUUAUCUAGUAGAUUGGUGAUUUUUCCAUCCUACUUGCAUAAGGACUUGCUCAUGAUAAAAUAUUUAUAGAAAUAUCUAUUUUAGCAUUUUAGACAAAUGUCUCAUGGGCUAUGUUGGCACAUGUACAAAGCAGUGAUUUCCAAGCAAAAAUGUUCCCUGGAUGGUGAUGUGGUAGACAAUUGUUCUCUUAAGGAGUGAAGAUCAAUCUUCUAGGAAGCAAUAGGUGACAGAGUAGAUGAAGAGGAAGCAGACAUCAUCUCGUUGGAAAAAGAACAACAUGGUUCCCUGUCGUUUUUGUGAGAAAUGUCAAAAGGAAGAAAUUACUGUCACUCGGCAGGCAAGUUUCGCAGAUGAAGAUGGUCAUCAAUUAUAGUUAUUUUGCUCAUUAAUUUGCACAAGCAUUGAUGGAGGCUUCUCAAACACCACGUAGAAAAACUGAAAGUGUUAUGUUCUGUAGUGCUCGGAAUGCAAAAAUGAAGAAGAAGGGAAGAUUUGAUGAUGGAAGCUAGAUGUUGAAGAUAGCAGUAACAGUCAUUGGGAAAGCAAAAGCAAAGCAUGUAGUGGGAUGGCAGAAAUUCAAAGAUUAUGUGCUGCAAGAAUAUGUAUUCACAUGCAAGGGUUUCUAAGUCCUCGUUCAAAGGUUCAAGGAAGCACUGCCGCUAGAUCAUGCAAUGCCUUUCUCAAUUGGACAAUGGACUAUACAUUUCCACCCAAAAAUAAGAGAGAUUCAUGAUGCGCUUGUGCUAACAGUUGAAUUUGUCAAGGAAGCAGCAGCUUUCGAGCUAAAGUGUAUGAAUGCAGUCUCGAUGGAUUAAAGGUUUCUUCUGAUCUGAUUUGCUUGAGACAAAGGAAAGCAUAUGAAGGAACCAUUUAGCUGGCAUGGCUGAGACCUGUAUCCAAUUUGGUUGAUCUUGGUUCCAGUUUAAGCUGUUUGGAUUGCUUUUUGUCAAUCUCAUGAAUAUGGAUCUCAUAUCAAUGGAAGCAUUGAAAGUAUGAAGAUGAGAAGGCAAGAAUACUGGUAGCUAGCUGUUGGAUUGUAGGCAUGUAAAAAAUCUAGCUGGCUAGAAUGCAUAUAUUACUCUAGCUUGGCCUACAGAGAGAUAAGAUUUGAGGUUUUAAUGUGAUCUAGAGCUUUUAGCUUUUGAAAUACUUAAUUGACCAUGCUUUGGGG